GUUUUACAGACUACUUAACUGGUUCCCACAGUGGGAAUCACAAUGGUCUGGCCCAGUCUCUUCCAGCAAUGUGGCCACCUGUGAGCAUGGCAAGAACGCAGGAGCAGCCCUGUCCUCAGCAACAGUGGUAGCCAAGAUGUAACCAACCCUCAGAAUAUCCUGAAAUAAAAUAUCCACCAACGGGA
Molecule: non-coding RNA, 185 nt
Organism: Odocoileus virginianus texanus
Lineage: Eukaryota; Metazoa; Chordata; Mammalia; Artiodactyla; Cervidae
Source: RefSeq, a predicted model, not a curated record